AGUGAACGCUGGCGGUAGGCCUAACACAUGCAAGUCGAACGGCAGCACAGUAAGAGCUUGCUCUUACGGGUGGCGAGUGGCGGACGGGUGAGGAAUACAUCGGAAACUACUUUUUCGUGGGGGAUAACGUAGGGAAACUUACGCUAAUACCGCAUACGACCUACGGGUGAAAGCAGGGGAUCUUCGGACCUUGCGCGAUCGAAUGAGCCGAUGUCGGAUUAGCUAGUUGGCGGGGUAAAGGCCCACCAAGGCGACGAUCCGUAGCUGGUCUGAGAGGAUGAUCAGCCACACUGGAACUGAGACACGGUCCAGACUCCUACGGGAGGCAGCAGUGGGGAAUAUUGGACAAUGGGCGCAAGCCUGAUCCAGCCAUACCGCGUGGGUGAAGAAGGCCUUCGGGUUGUAAAGCCCUUUUGUUGGGAAAGAAAAGCAGCAGGUUAAUACCCCGCUGUUCUGACGGUACCCAAAGAAUAAGCACCGGCUAACUUCGUG
RNAcentral lists this ribosomal RNA (492 nucleotides) under uncultured bacterium. Its description in RNAcentral is "partial 16S ribosomal RNA". It matches the Rfam family "Bacterial small subunit ribosomal RNA", at positions 29 to 507 of the family's 1533-position model. The record is from RNAcentral.